UAUACAAUGGCAGAUUAGUGCAUUAGGUUUAAACCCUAAAAAUGAGUAAAUUCUUGUAUAA
Molecule: transfer RNA, 61 nt
Filed under: Hirudo nipponia
Lineage: Eukaryota; Metazoa; Annelida; Clitellata; Hirudinida; Hirudinidae
Also listed under: 2 other names
Description: tRNA-Leu
Source: RNAcentral